ACCCACAUGACGAGUCCCAAACAGGACGAAAUGCACAUACUGGAU
This 45-nucleotide non-coding RNA is filed under the name Trichobilharzia regenti. Lineage: Eukaryota; Metazoa; Platyhelminthes; Trematoda; Strigeidida; Schistosomatidae. The record is from RNAcentral.